CUACGGGGGGCUCCAGUGAGGAAUAUUGUACAAUGGGGGAAACCCUGAUGCAGCAACGCCGCGUGGAGGAUGACGCAUUUCGGUGUGUAAACUCCUUUUAUGAGUCAAGAAAAUGACGGUAGCAUAUGAAUAAGCACCGGCUAACUCCGUGCCAGCAGCCGCGGUAAUACGGAGUGGUGCAAGCGUUACUCAGAAUCACUGGGCGUAAAGGACGCGUAGGCGGGUUGGAAAGUCAGGUGUGAAAUCCUACAGCUUAACUGUAGAACUGCACUUGAAACUUCUAAUCUAGAGUAUGGGAGGGGGAGAUGGAAUUAGUGGUGUAGGGGUAAAAUCCGUAGAUAUCACUAGGAAUACCUAAAGCGAAGGCGAUCUCCUGGAACAUUACUGACGCUAAGGCGUGAAAGCGUGGGGAGCAAACAGGAUUAGAUACCCCAGUAGUC
RNAcentral lists this ribosomal RNA (440 nucleotides) under uncultured bacterium. RNAcentral's name for it is "partial 16S ribosomal RNA". It matches the Rfam family "Bacterial small subunit ribosomal RNA", at positions 339 to 795 of the family's 1533-position model. The record is from RNAcentral.